Molecule: ribosomal RNA, 253 nt
Filed under: uncultured bacterium
Lineage: Bacteria
Description: partial 16S ribosomal RNA
Rfam family: Bacterial small subunit ribosomal RNA
Source: RNAcentral
UACGUAGGGGGCAAGCGUUGUCCGGAAUUAUUGGGCGUAAAGAGCGUGUAGGCGGUCCGGUAAGUCAGCUGUGAAAGUCAAGGGCUCAACCCUUGAAAGCCGGUUGAUACUGUCGGGCUAGAGUCCGGAAGAGGCGAGUGGAAUUCCCGGUGUAGCGGUGAAAUGCGCAGAUAUCGGGAGGAACACCAAUGGCGAAGGCAGCUCGCUGGGACGGUACUGACGCUGAGGAGCGAAAGCAUGGGGAGCAAACAGG